Molecule: non-coding RNA, 110 nt
Filed under: Sporosarcina sp.
Lineage: Bacteria; Bacillati; Bacillota; Bacilli; Caryophanales; Caryophanaceae
Description: TPP sequence
Rfam family: TPP riboswitch aptamer (THI element)
About the family: Vitamin B(1) in its active form thiamin pyrophosphate (TPP) is an essential coenzyme that is synthesised by coupling of pyrimidine and thiazole moieties in bacteria. The previously detected thiamin-regulatory element, thi box was extended, resulting in a new, highly conserved RNA secondary structure, the THI element, which is widely distributed in eubacteria and also occurs in some archaea. Analysis of operon structures identified a large number of new candidate thiamin-regulated genes, mostly transporters, in various prokaryotic organisms.
Source: RNAcentral
UUCAUCCACUGGAGGUGCCUUUGAAGAGGCUGAGAUCAAAGUAAUGGACUUUGGGACUCCUAGAACCUGAUCCAGGUUAUACUGGCGGAGGGAAGUGGCACUGCUUACAA